This 471-nucleotide ribosomal RNA is filed under the name uncultured bacterium. RNAcentral's name for it is "bacterial SSU rRNA". It matches the Rfam family "Bacterial small subunit ribosomal RNA", at positions 29 to 507 of the family's 1533-position model. The record is from RNAcentral.
AACGAACGCUGGCGGCGUGCCUUACACAUGCAAGUCGAACGAGAAAGCCCUUCGGGGCAAGUACAGUGGCGGACGGGUGAGUAACGCGUGGGUAAUCUACCCCUGGGCGGGGGAUAACACUUCGAAAGAGGUGCUAAUACCGCAUAAGACCACGACCCUUCGGGGGCGUGGGAAAAGGUGGGGAUCUUCGGACCUGUCACCUAGGGAUGAGCCCGCGUACCAUUAGGUUGUUGGUGGGGUAAAGGCCUACCAAGCCAUAGAUGGUUAGCUGGUCUGAGAGGAUGAUCAGCCACACUGGGACUGAGACACGGCCCAGACUCCUACGGGAGGCAGCAGUGGGGAAUAUUGGACAAUGGGCGAAAGCCUGAUCCAGCAAUGCCGCGUGAGUGAUGAAGGCCUUAGGGUUGUAAAGCUCUUUUACCAGGGAUGAUAAUGACAGUACCUGGAGAAUAAGCUCCGGCUAACUCCGUG